RNAcentral lists this ribosomal RNA (563 nucleotides) under Klebsiella ornithinolytica. RNAcentral describes it as "Raoultella ornithinolytica partial 23S ribosomal RNA". It matches the Rfam family "Bacterial large subunit ribosomal RNA", at positions 911 to 1476 of the family's 2925-position model. Lineage: Bacteria; Pseudomonadati; Pseudomonadota; Gammaproteobacteria; Enterobacterales; Enterobacteriaceae. The record is from RNAcentral.
UGUUUCGGCUAGGGGGUCAUCCCGACUUACCAACCCGAUGCAAACUACGAAUACCGAAGAAUGUUAUCACGGGAGACACACGGCGGGUGCUAACGUCCGUCGUGAAGAGGGAAACAACCCAGACCGCCAGCUAAGGUCCCAAAGUCAUGGUUAAGUGGGAAACGAUGUGGGAAGGCACAGACAGCCAGGAUGUUGGCUUAGAAGCAGCCAUCAUUUAAAGAAAGCGUAAUAGCUCACUGGUCGAGUCGGCCUGCGCGGAAGAUGUAACGGGGCUAAACCAUGCACCGAAGCUGCGGCAGCGACACUAUGUGUUGUUGGGUAGGGGAGCGUUCUGUAAGCCGUUGAAGGUGGCCUGUGAGGGUUGCUGGAGGUAUCAGAAGUGCGAAUGCUGACAUAAGUAACGAUAAAGCGGGUGAAAAGCCCGCUCGCCGGAAGACCAAGGGUUCCUGUCCAACGUUAAUCGGGGCAGGGUGAGUCGACCCCUAAGGCGAGGCCGAAAGGCGUAGUCGAUGGGAAACAGGUUAAUAUUCCUGUACUCGGUGUUACUGCGAAGGGGGGACGGA